RNAcentral lists this ribosomal RNA (497 nucleotides) under uncultured bacterium. Its description in RNAcentral is "partial 16S ribosomal RNA". It matches the Rfam family "Bacterial small subunit ribosomal RNA", at positions 28 to 507 of the family's 1533-position model. The record is from RNAcentral.
GAUGAACGCUGGCGGCGUGCCUAAUACAUGCAAGUCGAGCGAACGGACGAGAAGCUUGCUUCUCUGAUGUUAGCGGCGGACGGGUGAGUAACACGUGGAUAACCUACCUAUAAGACUGGGAUAACUUCGGGAAACCGGAGCUAAUACCGGAUAAUAUUUUGAACCGCAUGGUUCAAAAGUGAAAGACGGUCUUGCUGUCACUUAUAGAUGUAUCCGCGCUGCAUUAGCUAGUUGGUAAGGUAACGGCUUACCAAGGCAACGAUGCAUAGCCGACCUGAGAGGGUGAUCGGCCACACUGGAACUGAGACACGGUCCAGACUCCUACGGGAGGCAGCAGUAGGGAAUCUUCCGCAAUGGGCGAAAGCCUGACGGAGCAACGCCGCGUGAGUGAUGAAGGUCUUCGGAUCGUAAAACUCUUUUAUUAGGGAAGAACAUAUGUGUAAGUAACUGUGCACAUCUUGACGGUACCUAAUCAGAAAGCCACGGCUAACUACGUG